GAGGGUACAGCUCAGUGGUAGAGCACAUGCUUAGCAUGCAUGAGGUCCUGGGUUCAGUCCCCACUACCUCCU
Molecule: transfer RNA, 72 nt
Filed under: Camelus bactrianus (Bactrian camel)
Lineage: Eukaryota; Metazoa; Chordata; Mammalia; Artiodactyla; Camelidae
Also listed under: 2 other names
Rfam family: tRNA
About the family: Transfer RNA (tRNA) molecules are approximately 80 nucleotides in length. Their secondary structure includes four short double-helical elements and three loops (D, anti-codon, and T loops). Further hydrogen bonds mediate the characteristic L-shaped molecular structure. tRNAs have two regions of fundamental functional importance: the anti-codon, which is responsible for specific mRNA codon recognition, and the 3' end, to which the tRNAs corresponding amino acid is attached (by aminoacyl-tRNA synthetases). tRNAs cope with the degeneracy of the genetic code in two manners: having more than one tRNA (with a specific anti-codon) for a particular amino acid; and 'wobble' base-pairing, i.e. permitting non-standard base-pairing at the 3rd anti-codon position.
Source: Rfam by way of RNAcentral